UAGGGAAUCUUCCGCAAUGGGCGAAAGCCUGACGGAGCAACGCCGCGUGAGUGAUGAAGGUCUUCGGAUCGUAAAACUCUGUUAUUAGGGAAGAACAAAUGUGUAAGUAACUAUGCACGUCUUGACGGUACCUAAUCAGAAAGCCACGGCUAACUACGUGCCAGCAGCCGCGGUAAUACGUAGGUGGCAAUCGUUAUCCGGAAUUAUUGGGCGUAAAGCGCGCGUAGGCGGUUUUUUAAGUCUGAUGUGAAAGCCAACGGCUCAACCGUGGAGGGUCAUUGGAAACUGGAAUACUUGAGUGCAGAAGAGGAAAGUGGAAUUUCAUUUGUAGCGGUGAAAUGCGCAGAGAUAUGGAGGAACACCAGUGGCGAAGGCGACUUUCUGGUCUGUAACUGACGCUGAUGUGCGAAAGCGGGGGGAUCAAACCGG
RNAcentral lists this ribosomal RNA (429 nucleotides) under Actinomycetes bacterium. RNAcentral describes it as "Actinobacteria bacterium partial 16S ribosomal RNA". It matches the Rfam family "Bacterial small subunit ribosomal RNA", at positions 355 to 776 of the family's 1533-position model. The record is from RNAcentral. Lineage: Bacteria; Bacillati; Actinomycetota; Actinomycetes.